GUACUCGCUUCGGCGGUACAUAUACUAAAACUGGAACGAUACAGAGAAGAUUAGCAUCGUCCCUGCGCAAGGAUGACAGGCAGAAUCGUGAAGCUAGCCGGCACGGU
Schistocerca americana (American grasshopper) is the source of this 107-nucleotide small nuclear RNA. The record is from RefSeq and is a predicted model, not a curated record. NCBI's taxonomy places the organism in Eukaryota, Metazoa, Arthropoda, Insecta, Orthoptera, Acrididae.